Molecule: small nucleolar RNA, 104 nt
Organism: Macaca fascicularis (crab-eating macaque)
Lineage: Eukaryota; Metazoa; Chordata; Mammalia; Primates; Cercopithecidae
Source: Ensembl
AUCCUUUUAGGGUUGAUGAGUGUGAUGAUUGGGUUUCUAUGCACACGUCUGACAUGUGCCUCCCUCAGACCUUGUUACCACAUCUGUACAGCACCCAUAGGAUG